UACAGAGGGGGCAAGCGUUGUUCGGAAUUACUGGGCGUAAAGGGCGCGUAGGCGGCCUGUUAAGUCGAACGUGAAAUCCCCGGGCUCAACCCGGGAACUGCGUCCGAUACUGGCAGGCUUGAAUCCGGGAGAGGGAUGCGGAAUUCCAGGUGUAGCGGUGAAAUGCGUAGAUAUCUGGAGGAACACCGGUGGCGAAGGCGGUUCUCUGGGCCUUACCUGACGCUGAGGAGCGAAAGCAUGGGGAGCAAACAGG
This 253-nucleotide ribosomal RNA is filed under the name uncultured bacterium. Its description in RNAcentral is "partial 16S ribosomal RNA". It matches the Rfam family "Bacterial small subunit ribosomal RNA", at positions 524 to 776 of the family's 1533-position model. The record is from RNAcentral.